Molecule: long non-coding RNA, 473 nt
Organism: Pseudophryne corroboree (corroboree frog)
Lineage: Eukaryota; Metazoa; Chordata; Amphibia; Anura; Myobatrachidae
Exons: 2
Source: RefSeq, a predicted model, not a curated record
UUAGAGGGACGUGCGGCAGACUAAGAGGGAGAGGAGUAGCAGCAUAAAGAUCGGUGGUCCCAGGAGUAUACAGCUCCCUUUUAUGGUUUGGAGCCAUAUUUACCAGUGUGAGGACUGAUAACGGUGGUGAAUAGUAUCGGGAGGCGUGACCGUGGCUGUACUAAUCUGGCUGUGCAGGAAGCUGAGUGCAUCGGGAGGCAGAGCUGACACACAGGAGAGGCAGGAAGAUGAGCAUCAAUGAGUACCCGGCAACUGCGGCCCUGUAUUCCAUUUCUGGAGGAGGAAGAAGACCAGAUUACCCGUUCUGUGCUGUAUUUAUGAUAAGGAAGGGCGGAAAAGGGCAUGUUAAAUUGUUUGACUGAAGGGCUCAGCUGAAGCAAUUGCUGAUCAGCUUCUUGCUGAGAACGGAGAUGAGGAGAAUUUUUUUUAUCUGUAAUUUUUUUUAAAGUAAAAAAGUUUAUUUGUAGUGUGAA